RNAcentral lists this ribosomal RNA (945 nucleotides) under Purpureocillium sp. WC-2018a. RNAcentral's name for it is "SSU rRNA". It matches the Rfam family "Eukaryotic small subunit ribosomal RNA", at positions 74 to 1029 of the family's 1831-position model. Lineage: Eukaryota; Fungi; Ascomycota; Sordariomycetes; Hypocreales; Ophiocordycipitaceae. The record is from RNAcentral.
UUAUACGGCGAAACUGCGAAUGGCUCAUUAUAUAAGUUAUCGUUUAUUUGAUAGCACCUUACUACUUGGAUAACCGUGGUAAUUCUAGAGCUAAUACAUGCUAAAAAUCCCGACUUCGGAAGGGAUGUAUUUAUUAGAUUAAAAACCAAUGCCCUCUGGGCUCUCUGGUGAUUCAUGAUAACUUCUCGAAUCGCAUGGCCUUGCGCCGGCGAUGGUUCAUUCAAAUUUCUUCCCUAUCAACUUUCGAUGUUUGGGUAGUGGCCAAACAUGGUUGCAACGGGUAACGGAGGGUUAGGGCUCGACCCCGGAGAAGGAGCCUGAGAAACGGCUACUACAUCCAAGGAAGGCAGCAGGCGCGCAAAUUACCCAAUCCCGACACGGGGAGGUAGAGACAAUCAAUACUGAUAAAGGGCUCUUUUGGGUCUUGUAAUUGGAAUGAGUACAAUUUAAAUCCCUUAACGAGGAACAAUUGGAGGGCAAGUCUGGUGCCAGCAGCCGCGGUAAUUCCAGCUCCAAUAGCGUAUAUUAAAGUUGUUGUGGUUAAAAAGCUCGUAGUUGAACCUUGGGCCUGGCUGGCCGGUCCGCCUCACCGCGUGCACUGGUCCGGCCGGGCCUUUCCCUCUGUGGAACCCCAUGCCCUUCACUGGGUGUGGCGGGGAAACAGGACUUUUACUUUGAAAAAAUUAGAGUGCUCCAGGCAGGCCUAUGCUCGAAUACAUUAGCAUGGAAUAAUGAAAUAGGACGUGCGGUUCUAUUUUGUUGGUUUCUAGGACCGCCGUAAUGAUUAAUAGGGACAGUCGGGGGCAUCAGUAUUCAAUUGUCAGAGGUGAAAUUCUUGGAUUUAUUGAAGACUAACUACUGCGAAAGCAUUUGCCAAGGAUGUUUUCAUUAAUCAGGAACGAAAGUUAGGGGAUCGAAGACGAUCAGAUACCGUCGUAGUCUUAA